GCUGAUAUGGCUCAAUGGUAGAGCAGCUGAUUUGUAAUCAGCAUGUUGUAGGUUCGAAUCCUGCUAUCAGCUCCA
RNAcentral lists this transfer RNA (75 nucleotides) under Caudoviricetes sp. RNAcentral's name for it is "tRNA-Thr". It matches the Rfam family "tRNA". Rfam says of the family: Transfer RNA (tRNA) molecules are approximately 80 nucleotides in length. The record is from RNAcentral. Lineage: Duplodnaviria; Heunggongvirae; Uroviricota; Caudoviricetes.